UUUUUACAUACAACCUGAGUCAGCACUUUGAGAAGGCAGCUGAUUUCAUUGACAAAGCUCUUGCAGACAAUGGGAAGAUCUACAUCCAUUGUAUGCAGGGCAUCAGCAGAUCAGGGUCCACAGUAUUGGCAUUUCUCAUGUUGAAGCGAGAUAUGCCUCUGAAAGAGGCUGUGAAAUUAGUUCGAGCCAAGCGAGAGAUCUUCCCCAAUGACGGCUUUCUAAAACAGCUGUGUGAGCUCAACAAGAAGUUGCACGAGAAGCCAUCUUGACGUCUGCUGAAUCCAUAGUGACUUGAGUGUACAGACCUACAUAUCAAUCAUGUCCAGACCAUAAUGAGAUUGGUAGAGGAUUGAAACUCAAUUCCUUUUCUA
Haliotis rubra (blacklip abalone) is the source of this 371-nucleotide long non-coding RNA. RefSeq lists it as uncharacterized. The transcript is spliced from 2 exons. Lineage: Eukaryota; Metazoa; Mollusca; Gastropoda; Lepetellida; Haliotidae. The record is from RefSeq and is a predicted model, not a curated record.